CUUCAGUUUUUUUCUUCCUCCAAGUUCAUAUCGAAACUGCUCCAUCUUCUUCUUCAGUCCACCACCACCACCAUCACCAUCCACAAAUAUUGGUAUUGAUUAUUAUCUCGAACCUGUGAGUGACGCAUAGACUUAAACAAGAAAAUAGAGACAAAUCUGUUUCUGAAGAUGAUUGAUUUCAAGGGUUUGAUGGAUUUCUGAAGUUGAAUGUAGAACAGAAAGGGGACUUGGUGCUGAUUCAAAUGGUUUGAGUGGUGCUGAUACCGAAUUGAAGAAAGAGGAAACAGGGAAUUGUUGAUUGUUAAAAGAAAUUAGGGUUUGAGUUAUGAUGAUUCUGUAAUCGAGACAGAGAUGGAGAUCGAGAACAUGAGUUGAAGUUCUGAGAUGAAAGGAUAAUUGGGUAUGUGAAGCUGAAUUUGGUGGUGAGCUAGAUCAGGUGAAGAUUGAGAUGUUACAGGGAAGAUGGAGACUGGAAGGAAGAGAAGAUGAACUGUUGGUCUUGGUAACUGGUUAUGCAGUUGAGAGUUAACAGGCGGAAUUGGUACUGGUGUAUAGAAACAGAACUUAAAUGGUUAAUUGAGUGUGAAAUGGCAAUGGGAUUCUAGCUGCUGGUGAUGACUGAGCAGAUACAGGCAAGUAUGGUUAUUUGCAGUCGAGUUGAAGCUGAGAAUAAAUGGUUAUGAAGCUACAGAGUAAUUGACUGAGCAGGUGUUGGUCCAUAUGCAUUCUCAGAAUUACAAGAGCAUUUCAAGAAUGGAUACAUCUCCGAGUGUACGCUAUUAUGGGCUGAAGGAAGAGCCGAAUGACUGCCGUUGCCAUCGAUCCCUGACUGUUCACAGGAGUAUCUGCUAUUACAGGUGAGUUUAUGUACCAACUUUGGUUUAGAUAUGAAAGUUGCAUAUGACAGAUAUCUGAAUAUGUUUCUAUUCAUGUUACAACAACGACUUCUGACAAUGAUGAUGAGUUCGCCAAAUGGCAAGAGGAGGUUAGGAAAGCGGAACUCGAAGCUGAGGCUUUGAAGCAUGGCUCAAAAUUAAAUGAUGUUGGUGGGUCAGAUCACUUGAAAGACUUGGAGGGGGGUGUUGAUGAAAGGCCUUCCACACCACCUGAUGGCGAGGAAGAAUUCACUGAUGAUGAUGGAACUGUGUACAAGUGGGACAGAGGUCUUAGAGCAUGGGUUCGCCAAAGAACUGUCGAAGAAAGCACAAAAAGCAAAUAAUAUGUGGUGGCGUCUGAGUGGAGUUCUAGGUGAUCAUAUCAUGUUCCAAGCUGCAUUCACAGUUGCCACAAUGGCUUUAACUGUGCCAAUAUUUCUGUCUUACGAAUUGCAUGUGAUUUUCCAAAUACUCAAAGUCUCAGCAUCUAUAUGGAAUGAAGGAGAAGAAGAAACUCGAACUGCUGCCAUUACCAGUCCAACCUGAUCAGCCUGCUACUGUCUCAACCUAAAUUCCCACAGAAACUAACGUCUUCGCAGAGUCCGACAACCAGUCAGAAUAGCCUUGUAUAAAAGAAAAUGACUUGUAAAAUUUCGUUUUCGCUACUGCUAGAAAAGUUUAGUUAGUACACCUAUGGCUGAUAUCUUGGGAUUUAGGAUUUUGAGGCGUGGAAAGUUUAGUUUUGAACUCGAUCCCUAGAAAAUCAAAUAACAACAUAUCAAAUCUCCUUUACAAUUUUUCCUAAA
Molecule: RNA transcript, 1681 nt
Organism: Papaver somniferum (opium poppy)
Lineage: Eukaryota; Viridiplantae; Streptophyta; Magnoliopsida; Ranunculales; Papaveraceae
Exons: 3
Source: RefSeq, a predicted model, not a curated record